GAUGAACGCUGGCGGCGUGUCUAAUACAUGCAAGUCGAGCGAACAGAUGAGGAGCUUGCUCCUCUGACGUUAGCGGCGGACGGGUGAGUAACACGUGGAUAACCUACCUAUAAGACUGGGAUAACUUCGGGAAACCGGAGCUAAUACCGGAUAAUAUAUUGAACCGCAUGGUUCAAUAGUGAAAGACGGUUUUGCUGUCACUUAUAGAUGGAUCCGCGCCGCAUUAGCUAGUUGGUAAGGUAACGGCUUACCAAGGCAACGAUGCGUAGCCGACCUGAGAGGGUGAUCGGCCACACUGGAACUGAGACACGGUCCAGACUCCUACGGGAGGCAGCAGUAGGGGAUCUUCCGCAAUGGGCGAAAGCCUGACGGAGCAACGCCGCGUGAGUGAUGAAGGUCUUCGGAUCGUAAAACUCUGUUAUUAGGGAAGAACAAAUGUGUAAGUAACUAUGCACGUCUUGACGGUACCUAAUCAGAAAGCCACGGCUAACUACGUG
RNAcentral lists this ribosomal RNA (497 nucleotides) under uncultured bacterium. Its description in RNAcentral is "partial 16S ribosomal RNA". It matches the Rfam family "Bacterial small subunit ribosomal RNA", at positions 28 to 507 of the family's 1533-position model. The record is from RNAcentral.